RNAcentral lists this ribosomal RNA (460 nucleotides) under uncultured bacterium. Its description in RNAcentral is "partial 16S ribosomal RNA". It matches the Rfam family "Bacterial small subunit ribosomal RNA", at positions 338 to 795 of the family's 1533-position model. The record is from RNAcentral.
CCUACGGGCGGCUGCAGUGAGGAAUAUUGGUCAAUGGGCGCUAGCCUGAACCAGCCAAGUAGCGUGAAGGAUGACUGCCCUAUGGGUUGUAAACUUCUUUUAUAUGGGAAUAAAGUGCAGUAUGUAUACUGCUUUGCAUGUACCUUAUGAAUAAGGAUCGGCUAACUCCGUGCCAGCAGCCGCGGUAAUACGGAGGAUCCGAGCGUUAUCCGGAUUUAUUGGGUUUAAAGGGAGCGUAGGCGGGUUGUUAAGUCAGUUGUGAAAGUUUGCGGCUCAACCGUAAAAUUGCAGUUGAUACUGGCAGCCUUGAGUACAGUAGAGGUAGGCGGAAUUCGUGGUGUAGCGGUGAAAUGCUUAGAUAUCACGAAGAACUCCGAUUGCGAAGGCAGCCUGCUGGACUGUAACUGACGCUGAUGCUCGAAAGUGUGGGUAUCAAACAGGAUUAGAUACCCUAGUAGUC